Pistacia vera is the source of this 310-nucleotide long non-coding RNA. RefSeq lists it as uncharacterized. The record is from RefSeq and is a predicted model, not a curated record. NCBI's taxonomy places the organism in Eukaryota, Viridiplantae, Streptophyta, Magnoliopsida, Sapindales, Anacardiaceae. The transcript is spliced from 3 exons.
CAAUCUCCAUUAACUUAUUCUGCACAGCGUUUUCCUCUCCUACGUCUCUCCUUUUCUUCUCUUUGAUCCAGAUCUCUUUCUAUUCGCUUUUCAUCCAUGUCCUCUUCCUCAGGAUCUGUUAGAUCGCUACACGAUCUAUCUAUUGAUACCAGAUAUAGCCUCGGUAUUUCCUGAAGGUUUAUAAUCAGCCUCGGUUUUAUGGAUGAUUAUGCACCUCUUGAUCUCCUGAGCCUUCGAUUCAGAUCUUUGAUCUUAAAUUGGGAGAUAUGGUUGAGAGGAUGAGAGGCUGUUGAAGAGCAAUAUGANAUAU